Molecule: unclassified non-coding RNA, 331 nt
Filed under: soil metagenome
Description: partial contains 5.8S ribosomal RNA, internal transcribed spacer 2, and large subunit ribosomal RNA
Rfam family: 5.8S ribosomal RNA (bases 1-120)
Source: RNAcentral
GAUGAAGAACGCAGCGAAAUGCGAUAAGUAAUGCGAAUUGCAGAAUUCCGUGAGUCAUCGAAUCUUUGAACGCACAUUGCGCCCCCUGGUAUUCCGGGGGGCAUGCCUGUUCGAGCGUCAUUUCACCACUCAAGCCUCGCUUGGUAUUGGGCAACGCGGUCCGCCGCGUGCCUCAAAUCGACCGGCUGGGUCUUCUGUCCCCUAAGCGUUGUGGAAACUAUUCGCUAAAGGGUGCUCGGGAGGCUACGCCGUAAAACAAACCCAUUUCUAAGGUUGACCUCGGAUCAGGUAGGGAUACCCGCUGAACUUAAGCAUAUCAAUAAGCGGAGGA